This 228-nucleotide ribosomal RNA is filed under the name uncultured bacterium. Its description in RNAcentral is "partial 16S ribosomal RNA". It matches the Rfam family "Bacterial small subunit ribosomal RNA", at positions 112 to 334 of the family's 1533-position model. The record is from RNAcentral.
CGGACGUAGGUAACCUGCCUGGUAGCGGGGGAUAACUAUUGGAAACGAUAGCUAAUACCGCAUAAGAACAUUUACUGCAUGGUAGAUGUUUAAAAAGGUGCAAAUGCAUCACUACCAGAUGGACCUGCGUUGUAUUAGCUAGUAGGUGAGGUAACGGCUCACCUAGGCGACGAUACAUAGCCGACCUGAGAGGGUGAUCGGCCACACUGGGACUGAGACACGGCCCAG